This 369-nucleotide ribosomal RNA is filed under the name Triticum aestivum (bread wheat). RNAcentral's name for it is "partial small subunit ribosomal RNA". The record is from RNAcentral. Lineage: Eukaryota; Viridiplantae; Streptophyta; Magnoliopsida; Poales; Poaceae.
AUGUUUGCUUCUUUAAAAUAUGGUUAUCGUUGUUUCGGUAAUGCUUCUGGACUAGUGCUUACCUUCUUGCUAUGUUGUUAUGCACCUGGUUGUCAUGCCCUGCUAGUUGCUAGUAUUAUUUUCAUUUGCUUAUGCUUGCUAGUAGUACAUGUUGAUGUUGUCAUUAUACUAUGCUCAGUUGGAUAUGAUUCAUUGUGGAUAUGGUGGAUAGUUAUGUUACACCCCGUGCUUAUGUUGAUAUCAUGUUUAUGCAUUGUAAUUGCCUCAUGUUAUUUUAUCAUGGCUCAGCAUAUUGCAUUCAAGUUUAACCGGAUUAAAUUGAACUUGAACAACUGUUGGCUGAGUCAUGGUGCCACCAUAUCGAGCUGA